GCGGCAGCGGCGGGCGCGAGCGGCAGCUGUCAGGCCACCGAGGUCCAAGCCGCACUUGCUGCCCCAUUGAGGACGAGGAGGCAGCAGGAGCAGUGACGGUGACUCUAAGGAGCCGGAUUCCCGGCACGCAGAGCUGACCUGCCUGGCACCCGCGGCCCUCUCCUGUUUCCUUCCCAUUGUGUUGGAUAAGCCAGCUGCAGAAUAUAUCCUGAGGUACCUGCUUUAUGGAAUUAUUCACACUAUUCACCAACAGGAAGAAUAAAGUCAAUCAAUUCAAGGAGUCUCAGAACAGGAGCACAUAGACACCAAACUUUGUGGGACAACAAAUAUAAUGAAGAGUAUGUUUGCGUCUUUCAAACAAAGCCACGUGAAGUCAAGGCCCUUAACACCCACCCCUCCCACAUACUGAGGGGAGAAUUCAGAUGCCCACUGGAGUCAGCCGAUCAGACUGCCUUUUGCACACUCCUUGCCUCCACUCCAGUUUACCGUGGAAGACCUGUCUGCUAUGGCUGAAUCUGAGAGAGAUCCUUGAGUAACGAAUUAAGGAAUGAACAAAUGUUGCUCUGGACAAAGCUGCAGCUUCCACGUCCUGCAUAACUGCACUCAGUACUGACCCUGAAGAUAGGAAAAGCAAUACAACUGGUGCUAGAAAUGUUAUGAGAAUGACUUGGAUGAGCUGAAAAAUGAAUGAUCUCCUUGAACAAGGCUUGCCUGGAAUUUCGCUUUGCUGCAGAGACAUCUGGAAAUGUGGAUUGAGGGUGGAAAUAAAAUGAAGAUGUCCUGGAAACUUCCAACUGAUCCUUGGGUCUAAUUGGUGUGGGAUAUGCAGCACAAGCGUGAGAAGCCAUGAAGUGAGAGCCCCAACAGGGGCUCAGAGUCAAAAACCUAGAUAUUAGCUCCCAAAGUCCUUCCGAAUCUGCUCCAGCUCCCCACAUCACUCCUAGCUGCCCUUGGCCCUCUCCACCUUUCCCCUCCCGAUUCCUUGGAAAAUAAG
RNAcentral lists this long non-coding RNA (994 nucleotides) under Homo sapiens (human). RNAcentral's name for it is "novel transcript". Lineage: Eukaryota; Metazoa; Chordata; Mammalia; Primates; Hominidae. The record is from RNAcentral.